Molecule: long non-coding RNA, 4059 nt
Organism: Sus scrofa (pig)
Lineage: Eukaryota; Metazoa; Chordata; Mammalia; Artiodactyla; Suidae
Source: RefSeq, a predicted model, not a curated record
ACCCAUGGUAGGGCUGAGCCGCGGCCCCCCGGGCCUGAAACCUAGCGCAGCCAGUGUGGGCGGCUGUGCGCCUCCGCGGGGCGCGGGCGCGAGGCUCUCCUGGGCAUCCUGCCGGCAGCCCCUCCAGCAGGUUCUGAGUCUGAGACCUUGGACCCCGCGGGGCCAGAGCGGCUGCCGGCCUGCCCUGGUCAGCCGGACUCGCAGGAGCGCCCUGGGAGAAGCCUGCUCUGCAGGCUGGGUGUGCGUCCCAGAGGGCGUCCAGGGCCCCUCCGGAGGGGGACCGGCCCGCGGACCGCAGGCUGCCGAGGAAGGGGGCCGGUCCGUGCGAGGUGAGGCGUCAGUGGGGGAAAACCGGGGCGCCCUCCUGCAUGGAGCGCGUUCCCGUCUCUGGAAAGGAAGUGGCAGCAAGUGUGUGGGUUAUGUGCUAGAAGCCCCGGCAGUUUCCAAAAACAGAAGUGUUAGCAAUGACAAAUGCAGUGGCAUCAACACAUUUGACCCUUGAUUGCAGGAGGAGCUCGUGAGCGAGGCCCCUCGUGCAGGAGGAAAGCGAAUCGCGGAGCAGUUCUAGAAGGCUGUGCAGAGAGGUGAGAAGUGGAAGUUCCAGAUCCUGCAGAAGAAGCGGGUAUCCCGCUCGGUGUCUGCUGUGGGCGUCAGAAGGAAAGAAGCUCAUGCUCAGGACACAAGUACCCGGAUUUUGCACCGUGUGGAUGUGAGUUCAGGAUCUGACUGCAGUGGCUCAGGUGUCUGUGGAGGCGGGCGUUGGAUCCCCCCAGCCCAGUGCAGAAACUUACAGGAUCUGGUGUUGCGGCAGCUGCCUGGUACCAUCGAGAGAAUGACGGGCUAACAUUGGGCUGCGACUCCACCGAACCGGAAAGUGAUGCCCGAAGAUACUGGAGAAGCACAUCAAGGAAUGAAUGGAAGCAAACGUUUUCCGCUGACCUGAUGGACUGAGAGCGAAAGAAGGCGAGUUCCCAGUGAGGGUUUCCCGCUCGUGAGAGGAGCACGAGGUGAUGUCGUGGAGAGAGUGAGAUGCGACAGGGAGGGAGACAUGGCCCCGAAGCUGUGGGACGUGCCGCAGACACACUCGCGCCCACACAGACACGCCUGCACACGUGCCCGAGGCGUGCACACGCGCACACACACACACUCGUGUGUACGAGUGCUCAGCAUCCAGGACACGAUGCCUGGAACCGAGUCCCCUCUGAAGCGGGAGGGGAAGGCGUGCUUGUUCCGAAAGAGCAGCGUGGGAGUGACCGGCGCCAAUCAGAUCGGAGACCUUCCCACGUACUUGGUCAAAUUAAACGAAACCAGAGUCUUCAGCUUUACUGAGAUGCAAUUGGUGGAAAUUGUACAUGCGGAAGAGGUACCAGUGGAUUCUUUAUUGUUUUCGGUUUAGGGCCGCACAUGAGUCACUUGGAGGUUCCCAGGCUAGGGGUGGAAUCGGGGUGCAGCUGCCAGCCUGGGCCACAGCCACAACCCCUAAGGAUCUGGGACACAUGUGUGACCCCCAGCACAGCUCACAGCAACGCGGGACCCUUAACCCACUGAGGGAGGCCAGGGAUGGAACACGAAGCCUCAUAGAUGCUCGUCAGGUUGGUUUCCGUUGAUCCCUGAUGGGAACUUCACCACGUGACACUUUGAUUCAUUUUUCAGUGUGAAAUAGUCACCACAGUCACAUAUUUGAUGACUCUGUGUGUGUGUGUGUGUGUGUGUGUGUGUGUGUGUGUGUAUGUGAGUGUGAGUGAUGUUUUCUGACCCAUUCAUCUGCCGACAGCCGUCGAGGUGGUUUCCGUGGCUCGGCUCCGGCUGUCGUGAGGGAUGCAGCAGUGGACAGGGACGUGCAGGUGUCUCUCUGUGACGCUGAUGUUACCUGCUGGGGACAUAGAUCAAGACGGGAAAUAGCUGCAUGUGGCCGGUCUGUCUCUCUCCUUCUCUUUGACAGAUGUUUGCGUUCCCACCAACCAUGCCCAAGGCCCUCUUUUCUGCACAUGUUUGUCAGCCUUGCUGCCCUGGGUCUUUUCCCACCAGCUGUUGUAACAGGUGUGAGGGGGUCUCUCCCCUAGUGUGUGUUUCAUGAUUUGCCCCGAGAGGAAGGAGGCCCCCAUUUAACACCUGUAUUUAUAUAUGCAUGGCAACUGCAGUUUGAGGUGGGAUCUCCAUUCCCAGAGCAGGGAUUGAACCUGGGGUCAGUGGGGAGAGCGCCGGGUCCUAAGCCCUAGACCGUCAGGGAACUCCCUCCCUCCCUGUGGUUUUGACCAGGGUUUCCCUGCUGGUCGGUGAGGGGCCGCAGCUUUUCAGGGACUGUUUGGCCAUUUGGAUCUUCUUUUGAGAAAUAUCUCUUCGGGUGUUUUGCCCCAUGAACACCAGCUUGCUACUGCUUUGCAUGCAGUUGUGUGUGCUCCCCCUGUGUCUGGGGAGGUGACAGCUUGUCAGAGAGACGGUUUGCAGGGAUCUUCUUGCUUCUGCUCCUUCAUGCUGUUGCCUGUUUCUUUUGUGUGCAGUCGCUUUCAUUUGACGGGCUCUUCCUUGUCUCUUCACGUAUUUGUUGCUUGUGCUUUUGGGGUCAUAACCGAAGAGCCGUGUCCAAAUGUGUGUCAGGAAGCUUUGCCAGGAGCGGGUUGAGGAUCCGGCGGUGUCUGUGCAGCUGCUCAAGCCAUUGCUAUGGCGCAGCAGGUUCCAUCCCUGGCUGGGGAACGUCCACGUGUCAUGGGUGUCGCAAAAAAACAAACAAACAAACAAACAAGCCAGGGACGAAGAAGCAGCUUUUCCAGUGUUUUGUUCUUGCACUUUUAUGGUGUCAGUCCUGAGUUUAAUUUUUAAACCAUUUUUUUUGGGCCAAGCCAAGGGCCUACAGAAGCUCUGGGGCCAGGGAGCCAGUCCUUCCCCUGCCGGACCACCAGGGCGCUCGCCAUGGUUAAGUCCUGAACCCAUUCUGAGUGGGUUUUGUGUGUGGGGUGCGUCUGGGGCCCGUGCCGUCCUGUGUGUGGAUGUCUCGUGUCCCCACCAUCAUUUAUUUAUGGAAGGGCUGUCCUGCCCCAGUCGUGUGUUCUGGCACCCUGUCAAGGAUUAACUCACGGCUUCUCAAGACAAUUCUUUCGCCUCAUCCGUCAGGCAAGUCACAGGUGUCUGAUGUGCUUUGGUCCGUUGAUGGGGAUUUAUCCUGUGGCGUUGGCAGUGUCCUAUUUCCCUGAGUCUUCGUGUUUCUCGUUGCUUUGCUCUGGUGUCUGUGGGUUUGCCCAUCAGCCCAUUAGAGAUUCUGGAAGCUCUGAAAGAUUUUCUGUGGACGUGCCAACUCUGCUUUCCUCCCUCCUGGGGAGAAGAUGCCGAGUUGCUUGCCUUGGCCCCUCCCUCAGCCCUGCACCCCAUUUCCCUGAGGGAUGAUGGGGGAGGCUGAGGCAGGGGGCAAGCUCCCUGUUCCACCUACAGACGAGGGCCCCUCCCCUCGUUCUUGCAGGUUGGCUGUGCCCCUGCUGAGAGUCCUGUCCCUUUUCCGAGUUCUUUGCUGCCCCCACGUGUGCCUGGAGCCCCGGCGCUCCCUGUGCUCUGAGUGGAGUGGCAGGCAGGUCUCUCAGGGGACACCUGAAUCCUGGGGGUGUCACCUGCAGCCUCACUCACUGUCCUCAGAGGGAGGGGGAAGCCUGGGCAGAGGGCGGGGGCCUCUCAGUGUGGAGCUGUGCCAGCCUCAGGGAGGGGUGCCAGGGCUAAAGAGAAGCUGCCUUAUUCUCCAUUUCAAAGUGGUUUUUCUUGGGUUUUUGCUUUUCUGCAGUGCUGCAACUCAUCUGGACACUGGAGUUUGCAGGAAAGUUAAAUGGGCCAAAUAUCGUUGUUUUAUCAGCCUCUCUAACCGAAGGGUCUUUAAAAAGACCCUGUGCUGGCCCAGCUGGGCACACAGUCUUUGAGGUAUUCACGCAGGGUUUCCCAAGGGCAGACUCUUCAUUGGAGGGAAAUAAUGCCCCCUGUUCCACUGGAAGUAUGUCUCAUUGUGGUGUUUCUUUUUUUUCUUUUAAAUCAAUUCUUGGGCUGCUCUUGCGGCACAUGGAGGUUCUCAGGCUAGGAGUC